AAUCAGAGAAACCAUGGUUUUGUUGAACUGUGAAAAGCGAGUGAAUUCCCCAGGGUAUCUGAACACAUCUACUUGCUUUGGCAAUAGAUCGUAUGCUUCCAACUCAUCUUCAUCCCAACCUGAGGUCGGGUUUAGAUGUGUGAUAUAUAGCCAGAUGAACACAGGGGAUGUGGAGGACUUGUGCCAAGUAGAGCAUAUAUUCCAGACAUCGUGGUCAGUCCGCAAUCUGGUACUAGAAGACCCAAGUAGUAUUUCCUGCACAGACUUACACAACCUAUUGCUAUACGGUUUUGAGCUUUCUUGGAUGACCCCUACAGAUUGUGGAAAGUGCGGCAUCUUCGAGUUCAGCGAACAACGUCGCUUUUGCUGAAAAAGCCAUACGGGAAUCCUUGGAAUACCAUUUUGGGUUUACAAUGGUGAGGUAAAUUUUUAUCUCAAAAUUGAUCACAAUGAAAAGCUUGAUAUAUAUCUUUAAUUUAUGAAUAUAUCUUUUUAAUUAAUAUAUCAACAUUUCAUAUU
Long non-coding RNA from Carya illinoinensis, 519 nucleotides. RefSeq lists it as uncharacterized. The record is from RefSeq and is a predicted model, not a curated record. The transcript has 2 exons. Lineage: Eukaryota; Viridiplantae; Streptophyta; Magnoliopsida; Fagales; Juglandaceae.